AUUGAACGCUGGCGGCAUGCCUAACACAUGCAAGUCGAGCGAGCGUCGGACGUGUGAGUAAUGUCGUGGAAACUGCCUGAUGGAGGUGGAUAACUAGUGUAAAUGGUAGCUACUAUCGCAUACCAUCAGAUUUGCCCAGAUGGGAUUAGCUAGUAGUUGGGGUAAUGGCUAACCUAGGCGAUGAUCCAUAUCUGGUCGGAGAGGUUGACCAGCCACACUGGAACUGAGAAAGGGUCAAGACUCCUCCGGGAGGCAGCAGUGGGGAAUAUUGCACAAUGGGCGAAAGCCUGAUGCAGCAAUGCGGAGUGUGUGAAGAAGGCCUUCGGGUUGUAAAGCACUUUCAGCGAGGAGGCGGUACUCGCAGAAGAAGCAACGGCUAACUCCGUGCCAGCAGCCGCGGUAAUUC
RNAcentral lists this ribosomal RNA (406 nucleotides) under uncultured bacterium. Its description in RNAcentral is "partial 16S ribosomal RNA". It matches the Rfam family "Bacterial small subunit ribosomal RNA", at positions 30 to 526 of the family's 1533-position model. The record is from RNAcentral.